This 423-nucleotide long non-coding RNA is filed under the name Myripristis murdjan (pinecone soldierfish). Its description in RNAcentral is "lncRNA (ENSMMDG00005006200.1)". The record is from RNAcentral. Lineage: Eukaryota; Metazoa; Chordata; Actinopteri; Holocentriformes; Holocentridae.
CAUGUGUGUGCCUGCCUGCCUAGUUUUGGCUUUUCUGUGCUCCCAUGUAUCCUGACUUCACUUCAGCUUGCCAUCUCCUGUGUUUGGGCCCCCCUGCUGCACUCUGCAUAACAAAGAGUACCUUGAUGAUCUACAUCACCAUCACCUACGUGCUGCAGUCUCUGAGCCUUGGGGCUGCCGAGUGUUGGCUUUGCGAUGAUGUUUAAGUUCAAGGAAAGUGAAGUUCAAAGGCGACAGAGGGACGGCGGGCAGAGGGCCUCCUGCUCCCGCCGCUGCACCAAGAGCCUCCAUCCAUCACCGUGUCACUCCAGGCCCGUAGCACACCUGCACCAAAACCACAUGGAGGUAAGGCUCUGGUUCCGCUGCUCCACUCCACUACAGCAAGAAAUGUUCCAGCGACCCGAGGCUAUAGGCUCCAUAUAG